UAGCUCAGUUGGGAGAGCGCUGCCUUCGCAUGGCAGAGGUCACGGGUUCGAAUCC
Molecule: transfer RNA, 55 nt
Filed under: Oenococcus oeni
Lineage: Bacteria; Bacillati; Bacillota; Bacilli; Lactobacillales; Lactobacillaceae
Description: tRNA-Ala
Rfam family: tRNA
About the family: Transfer RNA (tRNA) molecules are approximately 80 nucleotides in length. Their secondary structure includes four short double-helical elements and three loops (D, anti-codon, and T loops).
Source: RNAcentral